RNAcentral lists this ribosomal RNA (254 nucleotides) under uncultured bacterium. RNAcentral's name for it is "partial 16S ribosomal RNA". It matches the Rfam family "Bacterial small subunit ribosomal RNA", at positions 524 to 776 of the family's 1533-position model. The record is from RNAcentral.
UACGUAGGGGCCAAGCGUUGUCCGGAUUUAUUGGGCGUAAAGAGCUCGUAGGCGGUUCGGCAAGUCAGCUGUGAAAUCUCCACGCUCAACGUGGAGGGGUCAGCUGAUACUGCUGUGACUUGAGUCCGGUGGGGGAGUGUGGAGUUCCCGGUGUAGCGGUGAAAUGCGCAGAUAUCGGGAGGAACACCGGUGGCGAAGGCGGGUCUCUGGGCCGAUACUGACGCUGAGGAGCGAAAGCGUGGGGAGCGAACAGG